Molecule: long non-coding RNA, 590 nt
Organism: Girardinichthys multiradiatus
Lineage: Eukaryota; Metazoa; Chordata; Actinopteri; Cyprinodontiformes; Goodeidae
Exons: 2
Source: RefSeq, a predicted model, not a curated record
UGGCAGGUGUAGCUCAUUGCCAUCAUCAGGAAGUGUAUAUGAGAAGCAGGUUGCCAGAAUUUCAGCGCCUGAGUGUUUGCUUAUUGUGGUAACUCAACCGGCCAGAGCUUUUGAUAUCUUCCUUAAGAGAUCAUUGUUUGUUACCUCGUUGUCUUUGCUCCUUCCCAGGUAAACUUCCUAGUCCUGGUUCCUGUUCCAGUCACUCUGUUAAGAAAAAAUUCAAGAUCUCCAAGAAUCCCCUCACGGAUCAAGCUCCAGCUGGCAGCCGCUAAGCUCCUCGUUCUCCCUGGCCUCAGGCAUAAGCGAACCCUGCUCACCCUUCAACGUGUUUCACCACCAAACUGCAAGCACAGGUAUCUAGAGCUCACCAUUUGCUCUUUGGAAAUAGCCAUGGACCAAACCUCCACCUGUGCGUAUUUCACCUACCUUGGAUGUAGGAAAAGAUCGCCAUCAGACAAACUGUCUACCAAACUCCCAGGCUCCGCUUCACUCCCUCCCUGGCGGAUCCUCCUCUUCAACCCUCAGUAUAUCUCAGUCCUGGGCCUCACACCAUAACACAUUCCUGUGAAAAAAUAAACUUGUUAAACUUU